Molecule: ribosomal RNA, 1374 nt
Filed under: metagenome
Description: bacterial LSU rRNA
Rfam family: Bacterial large subunit ribosomal RNA
Source: RNAcentral
GCCUGAGACACGAUGACGAGUGAAAAAUAGUAACGAAGUCCUUGAUCCUCCGCUGCCAAGAAAAGCUGCUAAGGAAUAUAGAGGUGCCCGUACCGCAAACCGACACAGGUAGACAGGUAGAGAAUACUAAGGCGCGCGAGAUAACUCUUGUUAAGGAACUCUGCAAAAUGAACCCGUAACUUCGGGAGAAGGGUUGCUCUCUAGCGUGAGUAUGAGCAAUACAGAGCGCAGGAGAGUCGCAGUGAAAAGGUCCAGGCGACUGUUUAGCAAAAACACAGGUCAUUGCAAAAUCGCAAGAUGAAGUAUAAUGGCUGACGCCUGCCCGGUGCUGGAAGGUUAAGGGGAAGAGUGCAAGCUUUGAACCGAAGCCCCAGUAAACGGCGGCCGUAACAAUAACGGUCCUAAGGUAGCGAAAUUCCUUGUCGGGUAAGUUCCGACCCGCACGAAAGGCGAAACGAUCUGGACGCUGUCUCAACAAGGGACUCGGUGAAAUUGAAAUUCCGGUAAAGAUGCCGGAUACCUGCGAUAGGACAGAGAGACCCCAUGGAGCUUUACUGUAGCCUGAUAUUGGGUUCGGAUAUUCAUGUACAGGAUAGGUGGGAGACUAAGAAGCAUGGACGCCAGUUUGUGCGGAGUCACUGGUGGGAUACCACCCUUAAAUGUUUGGAAUUCUAACAAGGAGUCUUGAAGCAGAUUAUUGGACAGUGUCAGGUGGGCAGUUUGACUGGGGCGGUCGCCUCCCAAAAGGUAACGGAGGCGCUCAAAGGUUCCCUCAGAACGGAUGGAAAUCGUUCGCAGAGUGCAAAGGCAGAAGGGAGCUUGACUGCGAGAGCCACAACUCGAGCAGAUAGGAAACUAGGACUUAGUGAUCCGGCGGUCGCGAGUGGAAGUGCCGUCGCUCAACGGAUAAAAGCUACCCUGGGGAUAACAGGCUUAUCUCCCCCAAGAGUUCACAUCGACGAGGAGGUUUGGCACCUCGAUGUCGGCUCAUCGCAUCCUGGGGCUGAAGUAGGUCCCAAGGGUUGGGCUGUUCGCCCAUUAAAGCGGUACGCGAGCUGGGUUCAGAACGUCGUGAGACAGUUCGGUCCCUAUCCAUCGCGGGCGUAGGAAAUUUGAAGGAAGCUGACCCUAGUACGAGAGGACCGGGUUGGACAGACCGCUGGUGAACCAGUUGUUCUGCCAAGAGCAUAGCUGGGUAGCUAAGUCUGGAAAAGAUAAACGCUGAAAGCAUCUAAGCGUGAAGCGAACCUUAAGAUGAGAUUUCCCACAACGAAAGUUGAUAAGACACCAGAGAGAAUAACUGGUAGAUAGGUCAGGAGUGUAAGUGUGGUGACACAUUGAGCGGACUGAUACUAAUAAGUCGAAGACUUAGUC